CGUUAGCGGCGGACGGGUGAGUAACACGUGGGUAACCUACCUAUAAGACUGGGAUAACUUCGGGAAACCGGAGCUAAUACCGGAUAAUAUUUCGAACCGCAUGGUUCGAUAGUGAAAGAUGGUUUUGCUAUCACUUAUAGAUGGACCCGCGCCGUAUUAGCUAGUUGGUAAGGUAACGGCUUACCAAGGCGACGAUACGUAGCCGACCUGAGAGGGUGAUCGGCACACUGGAACUGAGACACGGUCCAGACUCCUACGGGAGGCAGCAGAG
RNAcentral lists this ribosomal RNA (271 nucleotides) under uncultured Staphylococcus sp. Its description in RNAcentral is "partial 16S ribosomal RNA". It matches the Rfam family "Bacterial small subunit ribosomal RNA", at positions 90 to 354 of the family's 1533-position model. Lineage: Bacteria; Bacillati; Bacillota; Bacilli; Caryophanales; Staphylococcaceae. The record is from RNAcentral.